UGGCGGACGGGUGAGUAACGCGUGGGUAACCUGCCCUGUACUGGGGGACAACAGUUAGAAAUGACUGCUAAUACCGCAUAAGCGCACAGGACCGCAUGGUCCGGUGUGAAAAACUCCGGUGGUACAGGAUGGACCCGCGUCUGAUUAGGUAGUUGGCGGGGUAACGGCCCACCAAGCCGACGAUCAGUAGCCGACCUGAGAGGGUGACCGGCCACAUUGGGACUGAGACACGGCCCAAACUCCUACGGGAGGCAGCAG
Molecule: ribosomal RNA, 258 nt
Filed under: uncultured bacterium
Lineage: Bacteria
Description: partial 16S ribosomal RNA
Rfam family: Bacterial small subunit ribosomal RNA
Source: RNAcentral